GAGUUUGAUCCUGGCUCAGGACGAACGCUGGCGGCGCGCCUAACACAUGCAAGUCGAACGAGCGAGAGAGAGCUUGCUUUCUCGAGCGAGUGGCGAACGGGUGAGUAACGCGUGAGGAACCUGCCUCAAAGAGGGGGACAACAGUUGGAAACGACUGCUAAUACCGCAUAAGCCCACAGCUCGGCAUCGAGCAGAGGGAAAAGGAGCAAUCCGCUUUGAGAUGGCCUCGCGUCCGAUUAGCUAGUUGGUGAGGUAACGGCCCACCAAGGCGACGAUCGGUAGCCGGACUGAGAGGUUGAACGGCCACAUUGGGACUGAGACACGGCCCAGACUCCUACGGGAGGCAGCAGUGGGGAAUAUUGCACAAUGGGGGAAACCCUGAUGCAGCGACGCCGCGUGAAGGAAGAAGUAUCUCGGUAUGUAAAACUCUAUCAGCAGGGAAGAUAAUGACGGUACCUGACUAAGAAGCACCGGCUAAAUACGUGCCAGCCGCCGCGGUAAUUC
RNAcentral lists this ribosomal RNA (504 nucleotides) under uncultured bacterium. Its description in RNAcentral is "bacterial SSU rRNA". It matches the Rfam family "Bacterial small subunit ribosomal RNA", at positions 9 to 526 of the family's 1533-position model. The record is from RNAcentral.